GACAGCAGUAGCCGCGGUAAUACGUAGGGUGCAAGCGUUAAUCGGAUUUACUGGGCGUAAAGCGUGCGUAGGUGGCUGUUUAAGUCGGAUGUGAAAGCCCUGGGCUUAACCUGGGAGCUGCAUUCGAUACUGGAUAGCUAGAGAUCGGUAGAAGGCAGCGGAAUUCCGGGUGUAGCGGUGAAAUGCGUAGAUAUCCGGAGGAACACCGAUGGCGAAGGCAACUGCCUGGGCCUGAUCUGACACUGAGGCACGAAAGCGUGGGUAGCAAACAGGAUUAGAUACCCCCGUAGUCCCUGUCUCUUAUAC
This 306-nucleotide ribosomal RNA is filed under the name uncultured bacterium. RNAcentral describes it as "partial 16S ribosomal RNA". It matches the Rfam family "Bacterial small subunit ribosomal RNA", at positions 507 to 807 of the family's 1533-position model. The record is from RNAcentral.